UACGUAGGAGGCGAGCGUUGUCCGGAGUUACUGGGCGUAAAGCGCACGCAGGCGGUCAGAUCAGUCUGGAGUGACAGUCUCGGCUUAACCGACGAAGUGUUCUGGAAACUGUCUGACUUGAGGGCUCAGAGGGACACGGAAUUCCGGGUGGAGUGGUGAAAUGCGUAGAUAUCCGGAGGAACACCAAUGGCGAAGGCAGUGUCCUGGGAAGUACCUGACGCUCAGGUGGCG
Molecule: ribosomal RNA, 231 nt
Filed under: uncultured bacterium
Lineage: Bacteria
Description: partial 16S ribosomal RNA
Rfam family: Bacterial small subunit ribosomal RNA
Source: RNAcentral